Molecule: unclassified non-coding RNA, 533 nt
Filed under: Hevea brasiliensis (rubber tree)
Lineage: Eukaryota; Viridiplantae; Streptophyta; Magnoliopsida; Malpighiales; Euphorbiaceae
Source: RNAcentral
ACCAGCCAAGCCAAGUCCUCCCAGAAGCAACACCCAUAUUUGAGUUAUAACCUCAUUCUCAGAUAUUGCCCCAGAUGGGAUUGGACGAUAAGGUUCAUUAAUUGCAUCAAUCUCUCGAUCAUACCAAUCAUUGAUUGUUUGUGUAUAGCCAGUGAGAAAUGGACCAGACAUAAGCAUGCAAGUAAUCGAUUUUGCCACAUCCUCGAAAUUCCAAUGGAAGUUACCAGAAGCGGCAGCACCACAGACUACUCCCCAAACCAAGGGCGGCCAUGUAACAGGCUUUGUCAAUUGAAGACGAAUCUUCCAUUUAUUAGUUUCUUGCGCAGCACCUUUAAUUCCAAGAAGCUGGUUGAAGCUGGAACCACCACUUGUCGGCGCUUUAUCUGGUGCCUGAGAUUUAACUUCGUUCGUGUCAGUUUCAGCGGCAAUAACCGAUAGCCUCCUUCUAGAAAACGAAACAGAAGCCGGCGAUAAAGCAGACUGAAUUCGAACUCGAUUGGCUUGGAUGCUCGAUAGUCUUAGAGAUGGAGCUG